UACGGAGGGGGCUAGCGUUGUUCGGAAUUACUGGGCGUAAAGCGCACGUAGGCGGCUUGAUAAGUUAGAGGUGAAAGCCCGGGGCUCAACCCCGGAAUUGCCUUUAAGACUGUCUCGCUUGAAUCCGGGAGAGGUGAGUGGAAUUCCGAGUGUAGAGGUGAAAUUCGUAGAUAUUCGGAAGAACACCAGUGGCGAAGGCGGCUCACUGGACCGGCAUUGACGCUGAGGUGCGAAAGCGUGGGGAGCAAACAGG
This 253-nucleotide ribosomal RNA is filed under the name uncultured bacterium. RNAcentral's name for it is "partial 16S ribosomal RNA". It matches the Rfam family "Bacterial small subunit ribosomal RNA", at positions 524 to 776 of the family's 1533-position model. The record is from RNAcentral.